Molecule: ribosomal RNA, 658 nt
Filed under: uncultured bacterium
Lineage: Bacteria
Description: bacterial SSU rRNA
Rfam family: Bacterial small subunit ribosomal RNA
Source: RNAcentral
AGAGUUUGAUCCUGGCUCAGGACGAACGCUGGCGGCGUGCUUAACACAUGCAAGUCACGGGGGCUCCGCAAGGAGCAACCGGCGAACGGGUGCGUAACACGUGAGCAACCUGCCGAUCUGUGGGGGAUAGCCGGGCUAACGCCCGGGUAAUACCGCAUACGUUCUCUUGGGGGAGUCCCUGAGAGAGGAAACCUCCGGGGCAGAUCGAGGGGCUCGCGGCCUAUCAGCUAGUUGGUGUGGGUAAUGGCCCACCAAGGCGACGACGGGUAGCUGGUCUGAGAGGAUGGCCAGCCACAUUGGGACUGAGAGACGGCCCAGACUCCUACGGGAGGCAGCAGUGGGGAAUCUUGCGCAAUGGCCGAAAGGCUGACGCAGCGACGCCGCGUGUGGGAGGACGCCGUUCGGGGUGUAAACCACUGUUGCCCGGGACGAACACACCGUUUCGACGGUGCUGACGGUACCGGGUGAGGAAGCACCGGCUAACUCCGUGCCAGCAGCCGCGGUAAUACGGAGGGUGCGAGCGUUGUCCGGAAUCAUUGGGCGUAAAGGGCGCGUANGUGGCCCGUGCAAGCGUGCGGUGAAAGCUCGGGGCUCAACCCCGAGUCGGCCGUGCGAACUGCUGGGCUGGAGCACUGUANAGGCAGGCGGANUUCCGGGU